UAAUGGCCUACCAACCUACGAUCUAUAGCUGGUUUGAGAGGAUGAUCAGCCACACUGGGACUGAGACACGGCCCAGACUCCUACGGGAGGCAGCAGUGAGGAAUCUUGGACAAUGGGGGAAACCCUGAUCCAGCCAUGCCGGCGUGAGCGAUGAAGGCCUUAGGGUUGUAAAGCUCUUUCAGUCGUGAAGAACAAGUGACGAGCGACUG
RNAcentral lists this ribosomal RNA (209 nucleotides) under uncultured bacterium. Its description in RNAcentral is "partial 16S ribosomal RNA". It matches the Rfam family "Bacterial small subunit ribosomal RNA", at positions 258 to 466 of the family's 1533-position model. The record is from RNAcentral.